UCUUAUAUAGUUUAAAUAAAAUAUUAAUUUUGUAAAUUAAGGUUAUCAAUUGAUUUUAAGAU
Molecule: transfer RNA, 62 nt
Filed under: Setaphyes kielensis
Lineage: Eukaryota; Metazoa; Kinorhyncha; Allomalorhagida; Pycnophyidae
Description: tRNA-Thr
Source: RNAcentral